This 94-nucleotide transfer RNA is filed under the name Streptomyces reticuli. RNAcentral's name for it is "tRNA-???(gcgg)". The record is from RNAcentral. Lineage: Bacteria; Bacillati; Actinomycetota; Actinomycetes; Kitasatosporales; Streptomycetaceae.
GCGCUGCUGGCGGAGCCUGGCCGUCCGGGCCCUGCGGGCGGCCUCGGCGGAGCGGGACGGCGCCGCGUCCUCGUCCUGCUCGGGGCUGGUGCGC